Trifolium pratense (red clover) is the source of this 1167-nucleotide long non-coding RNA. RefSeq lists it as uncharacterized. The transcript is spliced from 7 exons. The record is from RefSeq and is a predicted model, not a curated record. Lineage: Eukaryota; Viridiplantae; Streptophyta; Magnoliopsida; Fabales; Fabaceae.
CUCUCGAACCCUAAUCGAAGAAUCAACCCUAAAAAAAAACCCAGAUCCUCUUCCCUGCCAUAAUUUUUCUUCGCCCUAGCUCUUCUUCGCCUUUGUUCGUCUUCGUCGUAGCUUCUGCCACCGCAGUUCCUCUUGUCGCCGCCAUAUCUCUUCCUCAACGAAGGGCAGCAAUACUCUAUUUUCGCUUCUCAUAAACCCAUAGUGCUAUCUCAGAAGUUUUUAUGCUAAGGAAGUGUCAACUUGGUAGGAAGUGUCAACUUUGUCUUGCUGGAUUUCUUCACAUAAUUGAGGCUCUUGCAGUUAAAUAUUGGUUACAUUGCCUCAUGCUACGCUAGAAAAGACAAACGCUUUGGGGGCGCAGAGCCAAGGCACGCGCAAUAUUUAUUGCGUUUAUGGGACUGUCCAACACCACUUGCUCAAAUCUACCCCUAAAUUAAUAUUGUGUAGAUGAGGGCUAUAAAAGAAGAACUUGGUGAUAAUGAGGAUGAUGAGGAUGACCUGGUUGCCCUUGAAAGGAAUAUGCAGAAGGCAGGAAUGCCACCAAAUGUAUGGAAACAUGCACACACAGAGUUGAGUUCGCAGGUUUACCUUGAUCUUCUUGCCGAUCUGCCCUGGAAGAAGGCCAGCGAAGAGAUUGAAAUGGACUUAAGGGCUGCACAAAAGCGACUGGACAGUGAUCACUAUGGUUUAGUGAAGGUCAAGCAAAGAAUUAUUGAAUACCUAGCAGUUCGCAAGACUUGGGUUAGUUCAAUUGAGGCUGCUCAACAAUAACUAUCAUAAUUGCCAGGAAGUUUGGAUUACCGUGUUACGGAGGAAAGUUUGAUGGAUCACGUAGGUACCAAUAUGCAUGAAGCAUGCCUGCAGAUUGACAAAGAAUGCAGGUGUUCGAUGAUCCCACAUCAUUAACCGAGGAGGAGCUGUAUGAAUUGCGAAACAGCUGGGCUACUUGUUUUCUUGACCUGUACAAUCCCGAGGUAGAUUAUGAUGUUGCCGAUGAUGAGGUUUAGGAGCUAGCUAGGUUAAUUUGUGUGAUGUUACAAUGAAUUCACAUUAAUUAGGAUGUUUUGAAUUGUAAUGACUUAUAUUUUGCUUGAAUGUUAUAACAUUUUGGAUUGUUGGUAUUUUGGUUGAAUUGUAAGACUUGGUAUUUUAUUUGAAUCGUAAUGA